GACGAACGCUGGCGGCGCGCCUAACACAUGCAAGUCGAACGGAUUCAAGAGGAGCUUGCUUUUCUUGACUUAGUGGCGAACGGGUGAGUAACGCGUGAGUAACCUGCCCUGGAGUGGGGGACAACAGUUGGAAACGACUGCUAAUACCGCAUAAGCCCACGGAUCUGCAUGGGUCUUCGGGAAAAGGAUUUAUUCGCUCUAGGAUGGACUCGCGUCCAAUUAGCUAGUUGGUGAGGUAACGGCCCACCAAGGCGACCAUUGGUAGCCGGACUGAGCGGUUGACCGGCAAAAUUGGGACUGAGACCCGGCCCAGACCCCUCCGGGAGGAAGCAGUGGGGGAUAUUGAAAAAUGGGGGAAACCCUGAGGCAGCGACGCCGCGUGGAGGAAGAAGGUUUUGGGUUUGUAAACUCCUGUCGCUAGGGACGAUAAUGACGGUACCUAACAAGAAAGCACCAGCUAACUACUU
RNAcentral lists this ribosomal RNA (467 nucleotides) under uncultured bacterium. RNAcentral's name for it is "partial 16S ribosomal RNA". It matches the Rfam family "Bacterial small subunit ribosomal RNA", at positions 28 to 506 of the family's 1533-position model. The record is from RNAcentral.